CCUCCUUGCCCCCUCCUUCCUUUCUUCCUUUUUCUUUUCAUCACCCUUCCUCCUUUACUGACUCCUCCCUUUUAUCCCACUUUCCCUAGCUUCUAUCUUCCCUUUAACAGUAUUUGUUGAACCCUGUACUGGAUGCCAGAUCCAGCAAAUCCAGCACCUUGGUAACUGAAGGACUGUAACUUAAACAACAACAACAACAAAAAAGUAAUGUGAUGAUAUGUAAAGGCCUCCAAGACCUUAAUUAAAACAACAUCAACAAAGUAUGGAGCAGAGUGUAUUAGAUCGCUUCAGCCAUCAUUGUCAGCAACAACCAAGUUGACAAUCCACGCUGUGAACCAGUUCUCCUGCUUGGGUGAUGUUGGGGUACUGGGGAACUCAUAGCUUCCUCAACAGAGAAGCUACACCAGGAGAUGAACGCUGAGGAGGACCAGAUGAUGAAGGGCUCGGAGUCAGAAGCAGGAGUGGCUGGGCUGGAGAAUUGGAGUUGGCAUGGAUUCAGCAGAAUAUGAACCCUCCUGAUGGGCUUGAUUUCAGGGUCUCAGAGAAACGAAGAGGGGAACAGGCCUCUGACCAAAUAGCCAAGCCACUCACGACUGCCCAUGCAUCCAUAUAAAGGCUAACCUCAGGCUACUUCUCUUCCUGCACCAAUGGAAUGACCAGGCACACCACCCAAAGCUCUGCCAUUGGGAAGAUUUUCCCUCAUCUCUGUCUUUCAAGGCUGUAGAGGAGCAACAGUCCAUUUUUUGGCUUAUACCACGUCCUGAAAUGACCCAUCUGUGAACAAGCUUGGGCUUUUCCCUCUUCAAUCAUCUGGUCAAGAGUCUUCUCCAACCAUGAAGCCAUUGGUGGCAGCUGAAGGAGAAGAACCAGUGCAACAGUGGUGGAUCACAUGAAAGCGUGGGCUACUCAGUCAUGCAGCUUCCUGUGCUUUCAGGCCUUGCUUGUUCCUGAUCCUAGAUGUUCCACUUCUAACAUAUAAUAAAUUGC
Long non-coding RNA from Balaenoptera musculus (blue whale), 987 nucleotides. RefSeq lists it as uncharacterized. NCBI's taxonomy places the organism in Eukaryota, Metazoa, Chordata, Mammalia, Artiodactyla, Balaenopteridae. The record is from RefSeq and is a predicted model, not a curated record. The transcript is spliced from 4 exons.